AUGGACGCCGACGACCCCUCCACCUCGCUCGCCGUCACCGCGGCCGGCGCGCCCCAGAGCAGCGCCAAGAAAAAGCCGGCCCCCAAGCGGUUCAUCCACACCCCGAUCCCGGCCUCCAUCCUCAACGACCCCACCCUCGCCGCCGCCGCCACCUCGCUCCUCCCGGCGGCCUACAACUUCGAGCUCCACAAGACGGCGCACCGCAUCCGCUCCUCGGGCGCGCGCCGCGCCGCGCUGCAGCUCCCCGAGGGCCUGCUCCUCUUCUCGCUGCCCCUCUCCCACCUCCUCGGCCCCUUCCUCGCCGAGGACCCCUCCAACGACGUCCUCAUCCUCGCCGACCCCACCUACGGCGCCUGCUGCCUCGGCGACCGCCCCGCCAAGGCCCUCGCCGCCGACCUCCUCGUCCACUACGGCCACUCCUGCCUCGUCCCCGUCACCUCCUCGCUCCUCCCCGUGCUCUACGUCUUCGUCGAGAUCCGCGUCGACGCGCUCCGCCUCGCCGCCGCCGUCCGCGGCGCCUUCCCGGACCCCGCCGCCGCGCCCCGCCUAGCCCUCGCCGGCACCGUGCAGUUCAUCGCCGCGGUGCACGCCGCGCGCGAGAUGCUCACGCGGGACGGCUACCGCGACAUCGUCGUGCCGCAGGCCAAGCCGCUCUCCGCCGGCGAGAUCCUCGGGUGCACGGCGCCCACGCUGAAGAAGGCGGAGGGGGUGGGCGUGGUGGUGUUCGUCGCCGACGGCAGGUUCCACCUCGAGGCCUUCAUGAUUGCCAACCCUGCGGUGAAGGCCUACCGGUUUGAUCCCUUUCUUGGUGUGCUUGUGCUGGAGGAGUAUGACCAUGUUGGGAUGAAGCAGGCGAGGAAGGAGGCGGUGCUGGCGGCGAGGAAGGCCAAGAGCUGGGGGGUUGUGCUCGGCACGCUGGGACGGCAGGGGAGUUUAAAGGUCCUUGACCGGGUGGUGGAGCAUCUGGAGGAGAAAGGUUUGGAUCACACGGUGGUGCUCAUGUCGGAGCUCUCCCCGACGAGGAUGGAGCUAUUCGGGGAUUCCGUGGAUGCAUGGGUGCAGAUUGCAUGCCCUCGGUUGUCGAUCGAUUGGGGGGAGGGUUUCAAGAGGCCGGUGCUCACAACAUUUGAGUUUGAUGUUGCACUGGGUUAUGUUCCUGGGUGGUGGGAGAAGGGGAGUAGGCAAAAUGGCGGCGGUGGAGGUGGCAGUGGUUGUUGUUCAGCUUCAGGAACUUGUGGAAAUGGUGAUUGUAGUAGUGGCGAUUGUGGUGGAGAUGAUUUUGGAGGGGAAUACCCGAUGGAUUACUAUUCGCAGGACGGGGGUGAUUGGAAUGGCUGCUACAUGAAGAAGAAACCCUCCACUGGCGAGAGAAAGCCGCGAGUUCGAAUCGGCAGUAGUGUCCAAGUCGAGGAGAAGCAAUGA
Molecule: ribosomal RNA, 1422 nt
Filed under: Triticum aestivum (bread wheat)
Lineage: Eukaryota; Viridiplantae; Streptophyta; Magnoliopsida; Poales; Poaceae
Description: partial small subunit ribosomal RNA
Source: RNAcentral